GAUGAACGCUAGCGGCAGGCUUAACACAUGCAAGUCGAGGGGCAGCAUGAAGGUUAGCAAUAACCUUUGAUGGCGACCGGCGCAAGGGUGCGUAACGCGUGAGCAACUUGCCCGUUUCUGGGGAAUAACCGGUGGAAACGCCGACUAAUACCCCAUAGCAUCAGAAUGAGGCAUCUCAAUCUGAUUAAAGAAAUUCGGAAACGGAUAGGCUCGCGUGACAUUAGCUAGAUGGCGGGGUAACGGCCCACCAUGGCUACGAUGUCUAGGGGUUCUGAGAGGAAGGUCCCCCACACUGGAACUGAGACACGGUCCAGACUCCUACGGGAGGCAGCAGUGAGGAAUAUUGGUCAAUGGUCUGACGACUGAACCAGCCAUGCCGCGUGAAGGUCACGGCCCUAUGGGUCUUAAACUUCUUUUUGUAAGGGAGCAAUAAGGUCUACGUGUAGACUGAUGAGAGUACCUUACGAAUAAGCAUCGGCUAACUCCGUGCCAG
RNAcentral lists this ribosomal RNA (493 nucleotides) under uncultured bacterium. RNAcentral describes it as "bacterial SSU rRNA". It matches the Rfam family "Bacterial small subunit ribosomal RNA", at positions 28 to 511 of the family's 1533-position model. The record is from RNAcentral.